UAAAUUGAGACCGAAUGUUAGGUGCUUAGCUGUUAACUAAGAAGAAGUAGGAUAAAAACCUGCCAAUUUAG
This 71-nucleotide transfer RNA is filed under the name Notoryctes typhlops (marsupial mole). Its description in RNAcentral is "transfer RNA-Asn". Lineage: Eukaryota; Metazoa; Chordata; Mammalia; Notoryctemorphia; Notoryctidae. RNAcentral also lists the same sequence under 1 other name. The record is from RNAcentral.